RNAcentral lists this ribosomal RNA (867 nucleotides) under Paracoccaceae bacterium. Its description in RNAcentral is "Rhodobacteraceae bacterium (freshwater metagenome) partial 23S ribosomal RNA". It matches the Rfam family "Bacterial large subunit ribosomal RNA", at positions 1 to 831 of the family's 2925-position model. The record is from RNAcentral. Lineage: Bacteria; Pseudomonadati; Pseudomonadota; Alphaproteobacteria; Rhodobacterales; Paracoccaceae.
UUCAGGCUACUAAGGGCUAUUGGUGGAUGCCUUGGCGCUGGAAGCCGAUGAAGGACGUGGAAGACUGCGAAAAGCUACGGGAAGUUGUCAAACAAGCUUUGAUCCGUAGAUGUCCGAAUGGGGAAACCCAAUUUAUUUUAAUAAAUUACUCCUAUCUGAAUAUAUAGGAUAGGUAGAGGGAACUAGGGGAAGUGAAACAUCUCAGUACCUAGAGGAAAGGAAAGCAAAAGCGACUCCCUGAGUAGUGGCGAGCGAAACGGGAAGAGCCUAAACCAAAUUAAUGUUAAAGACUGAUGUCGUUGUUUUUUUGGUGUUGUGGGGUCCUUUGGAAAGAGCAUCAGAUCUUUCAAUAAGUUACAAAUAAACAAGUUAGGAAAAUUAUCUGGAAAGUUAAACCAUAGAGUGUAAUAGUCACGUAUCUGAAAACUUAUUUACUUAUUAAGGCCACCCCGAGUAGCAAGGAGGAUAUUCCUUGUGAAUCUGCGAGGACCACCUCGUAAGGCUAAGUACAACCAGCGACCGAUAGUGAACAAGUACCGUGAGGGAAAGGUGAAAAGUACCCCGGCGAGGGGAGUGAAAUAGUACCUGAAACCAAUAGCUUACAAGCAGUAGGAGGGAUAUUUAUAUCCUGACUGCCUGCCUUUUGAAGAAUGAGCCUACGAGUUAUCUGUAUGUGGCAAGGUUAAGGAGUAAAUCCGUAGCCGCAGCGAAAGCGAGUUUUAAUAGAGCGUCUAGUCGCAUGCAAUAGACCCGAAGCCAAGUGAUCUAUCCAUGGGCAGGGUGAAGCGGAAGUAAGAUUUCGUGAAGGCCCGAACCCACUGAUGUUGCAAAAUCAGGGGAUGACCUGUGGAUAGGGGUGAAAGGCCA